RNAcentral lists this ribosomal RNA (460 nucleotides) under uncultured bacterium. Its description in RNAcentral is "partial 16S ribosomal RNA". It matches the Rfam family "Bacterial small subunit ribosomal RNA", at positions 338 to 795 of the family's 1533-position model. The record is from RNAcentral.
CCUACGGGAGACAGCAGUGAGGAAUAUUGGUCAAUGGACGAGAGUCUGAACCAGCCAAGUAGCGUGAAGGAUGACUGCCCUAUGGGUUGUAAACUUCUUUUAUAUGGGAAUAAAAUGUUCCACGUGUGGGAUUUUGUAUGUACCAUAUGAAUAAGGAUCGGCUAACUCCGUGCCAGCAGCCGCGGUAAUACGGAGGACCCGAGCGUUAUCCGGAUUUAUUGGGUUUAAAGGGAGCGUAGGUGGAUUGUUAAGUCAGUUGUGAAAGUUUGCGGCUCAACCGUAAAAUUGCAGUUGAAACUGGCAGUCUUGAGUACAGUAGAGGUGGGCGGAAUUCGUGGUGUAGCGGUGAAAUGCUUAGAUAUCACGAAGAACUCCGAUUGCGAAGGCAGUUCACUGGACUGCAACUGACACUGAGGCUCGAAAGUGUGGGUAUCAAACAGGAUUAGAUACCCUAGUAGUC